RNAcentral lists this ribosomal RNA (492 nucleotides) under uncultured bacterium. Its description in RNAcentral is "partial 16S ribosomal RNA". It matches the Rfam family "Bacterial small subunit ribosomal RNA", at positions 29 to 507 of the family's 1533-position model. The record is from RNAcentral.
AGUGAACGCUGGCGGUAGGCCUAACACAUGCAAAUCGAACGGCAGCACAGUAAGAGCUUGCUCUUACGGGUGGCGAGUGGCGGACGGGUGAGGAAUACAUCGGAAUCUACUUUUUCGUGGGGGAUAACGUAGGGAAACUUACGCUAAUACCGCAUACGACCUACGGGUGAAAGCAGGGGAUCUUCGGACCUUGCGCGAUUGAAUGAGCCGAUGUCGGAUUAGCUAGUUGGCGGGGUAAAGGCCCACCAAGGCGACGAUCCGUAGCUGGUCUGAGAGGAUGAUCAGCCACACUGGAACUGAGACACGGUCCAGACUCCUACGGGAGGCAGCAGUGGGGAAUAUUGGACAAUGGGCGCAAGCCUGAUCCAGCCAUACCGCGUGGGUGAAGAAGGCCUUCGGGUUGUAAAGUCCUUUUGUUGGGAAAGAAAAGCAGCAGGUUAAUACCCCGCUGUUCUGACGGUACCCAAAGAAUAAGCACCGGCUAACUUCGUG